Ictidomys tridecemlineatus (thirteen-lined ground squirrel) is the source of this 502-nucleotide non-coding RNA. NCBI's taxonomy places the organism in Eukaryota, Metazoa, Chordata, Mammalia, Rodentia, Sciuridae. The record is from RefSeq and is a predicted model, not a curated record.
GAUUCUUGAGCAGUCACAUGGAUCUGUGAGCUUAUGGGCAGUAACUUGAGGAGUUAGCCAUCCUGGACAUUAGAAUGUAAGAGGUAGAGUGGAAGUUAAUUACCAAUUUGGCUUUGACAUUGGCUCCCCCAAUCAACCACCCGGGUCUCUUCUUGGAAGAAGAAGACCACAUCUUCUAGUUUCUCAGCUCUGAUCUGCCAGGGAAACAGUUCAGGCUUCAGGUCAGACUGAAAUGUGGAGCUUUGUGACCUUGGGGUGAAGAAUCAUACAACAACUCAUUCAUUCAUCUUAAAUCAUCUUGGAGCCACAUUGUGGGGGCAUUAAAACAUGACCUAUCUCCUUGGUCUUUUUUUCUCAAACUUGAAGUUGCUGAUGGCAGGAGCCAACCUGGACCUCAGACUCUAAGGAGCGCAGGUCCUGGGAUCUCAGGAAGGAGGACACGCCAACAGAGGGACCCGUCCGAGCACGGUGCAGCUAAGGGCCCUCCACGGGGACUUGAGGG